RNAcentral lists this ribosomal RNA (429 nucleotides) under Acidobacteriota bacterium. RNAcentral's name for it is "Acidobacteria bacterium partial 16S ribosomal RNA". It matches the Rfam family "Bacterial small subunit ribosomal RNA", at positions 355 to 776 of the family's 1533-position model. Lineage: Bacteria; Pseudomonadati; Acidobacteriota. The record is from RNAcentral.
UGGGGAAUUUUGGACAAUGGGGGAAACCCUGAUCCAGCCAUCCCGCGUGUGCGUUGAAGGCCUUUGGGUUUUAAAGCACUUUUGGCAGGAAAGAAACGUCAUGGGUUAAUACCCCGUGAUACUGACGGUAUCUGCAGAAUAAGCACCGGCUAACUACGUGUCAGCAGCCGCGGUAAUACGUAGGGUGCAAGCGUUAAUCGGAAUUACUGGGCUUAAAGCGUGCGCAGGCGGUUCGGAAAGAAAGAUGUGAAAUCCCAGAGCUCAACUUUGGAACUGCAUUGUUAACUACGGGGCUAGAGUGUGUCAGAGGGAGGUGGAAUUCCGCGUGUAGCAGUGAAAUGCGUAGAUAUGCGGAGGAACACCGAUGGCGAAGGCAGCCUCCUGGGAUAACACUGACGCUCAUGCACGAAAGAGUGGGGAGCAAACAGG